Molecule: ribosomal RNA, 459 nt
Filed under: uncultured bacterium
Lineage: Bacteria
Description: partial 16S ribosomal RNA
Rfam family: Bacterial small subunit ribosomal RNA
Source: RNAcentral
CCUACGGGUGGCAGCAGUGAGGAAUAUUGGUCAAUGGCCGAGAGGCUGAACCAGCCAAGUCGCGUGAGGGAAGACGGCCCUACGGGUUGUAAACCUCUUUUGUCGGGGAGCAAAGCGAUUCACGUGUGACUCAUUGAGAGUACCCGAAGAAAAAGCAUCGGCUAACUCCGUGCCAGCAGCCGCGGUAAUACGGAGGAUGCGAGCGUUAUCCGGAUUUAUUGGGUUUAAAGGGUGCGCAGGCGGAGGUGCAAGUCAGCGGUAAAAUUGCGGGGCUCAACCCCGUACUGCCAUUGAGACUGCAUCCCUAGAGUACGCGAGAAGUAGGCGGAAUGAGUGGUGUAGCGGUGAAAUGCAUAGAUAUCACGCAGAACUCCGAUUGCGAAGGCAGCAUACCAGCGCGCAACUGACGCUGAUGCACGAGAGCGUGGGUAUCGAACAGGAUUAGAUACCCUUGUAGUC